AUUCAUUUAGUAAAAAAAUUAUUUUAGACUUCCAAUCUGAGGGUCCGUCUAAUUGGCGGGAUGAAUA
Molecule: transfer RNA, 67 nt
Filed under: Branchiostoma belcheri (Belcher's lancelet)
Lineage: Eukaryota; Metazoa; Chordata; Leptocardii; Amphioxiformes; Branchiostomatidae
Also listed under: 1 other name
Description: transfer RNA-Gly
Source: RNAcentral